CUGAUUGAACGCGCCGGGCGAACGUGAAAACGAGCCCACUUUCUGCAUAGCCGGAAAGCGCGUCCGGGUCAG
Molecule: non-coding RNA, 72 nt
Submitted as: unclassified sequences
Source: Rfam